RNAcentral lists this ribosomal RNA (2912 nucleotides) under Polulichloris maxima. RNAcentral describes it as "large subunit ribosomal RNA". It matches the Rfam family "Bacterial large subunit ribosomal RNA". Lineage: Eukaryota; Viridiplantae; Chlorophyta; Trebouxiophyceae; Watanabeales; Watanabeaceae. The record is from RNAcentral.
UCAAAUAAUUUUAGGAUGACGGUGAAUACCUAGGUAUUUAGAGACGAUGAAGGGCGUGGCAACCAACGAAAUACUUCGAGGAGCUGGAAACAAGCAAUGAAUCGGAGAUUCCCUAAUAGGGCAACCUCAAGAACUAAUUGUUGAAUUCAUAGACAAUCAAGAGAAAACCCGGUGAAUUGAAACAUCUUAGUAGCCGGAGGAAAAGAAAGCAAAAGCGAUUCCCUUAGUAGCGGCGAGCGAAAUGGGAACAGCCUAAACCGAACACAGUAAUAUGUUUUCGGGGUCGUGGGAAGAUAAAAUAGAAGAAGUAGCUGAUUCCUACACCAUAGAUGGUUAUAGUCCAGUAUUCAAAACCCCCAAGUAGCAUGGGGCACGUGAAAUCCCGUGUGAAUUUACGAGGACCACCUCGUCAGGCUAAAUACUCCUAAAUAACCGAUAGCGAAAUAGUACCGCGAGGGAAAGGUGAAAGAGAACCCCUUAAGGGGAGUGAAAAAGCAUAUGAAACCGUCAUCUGACAAGCGGUGGGAGAUGUCUACAUUGACCGCGUGCCUGUAGAAGAAUGAGCCGGCGACUUAUAGGAAGUGGCGUGGUUAAGGAAUUUUCCGAAGCCCAAGCGAAAGCAAGUUUUAAAAAUAGCGAUAUUUGUCACUUUUUAUGGACCCGAACCCGGGUGAUCUAACCGUGACCAGGAUGAAGCUUGGGUAACACCAAGUGAAGGUCCGAACUCUUCGAUCUUUAAAAAUCGUGAGAUGAGUUGCGGUUAGUAGGUGAAAUGCCAAUCGAACUCGGAGCUAGCUGGUUCUCCCCGAAAUGUGUUGAGGCGCAGCGAUGAAUGACAAAACAAAUAGUACGGUGUAGGGGUAAAGCACUGUUUCGGUGCGGGCUGCGAAAGCGGUACCAAAUCGUGGCAAACUCAGAAUACUACGCUUGUAUACCAUUCAUCAGUGAGACUGUGGGGGAUAAGCUCCAUAGUCAAGAGGGAAACAGCCCAGAUCACCAGUUAAGGCCCCAAAAUGACAGCUAAGUGGCAAAGGAGGUGAAAGUGCAGAAACAACCAGGAGGUUUGCCCAGAAGCAGCCAUCCUUUAAAGAGUGCGUAAUAGCUCACUGGUAAAGCGCUCUUGCGCCGAAAAUGUAUGGGACUAAGUUGUCUGCCGAAGCUGUGGGAUAUUGUCAAACAACAAUAUCGGUAGGGGAGCGUUCCGCUGUAGGUUGAAGCAUACUUGUAAGGUGAUGUGGACGAGGCGGAAGUGAGAAUGUCGGCUUGAGUAACGCAAACAUUGGUGAGAAUCCAAUGCCCCGAAAACCUAAGGGUUCCUUCACUAGGUUCGUCCAUGGAGGGUUAGUCAGUGCCUAAGGCUAGGCCGAAAGGCGUCGUCGAUGGAAAACAGGUCAAUAUUCCUGUACUAAAUGUUGUUAAGAACCGAGGGACGAAGAAAGCUUCCAUACGCCAUGAUUGGAGUUGGCGAGAAACGAACAAGGUGAUGAAAUGUAGAAGAAAAACUAUAUUUUAGCUAAGUCGUCGUAUGUGCUUAUUCUUAUAGCAGCUUAAGCUGUUAUGAGGUAAGUAUUAUGUGUAAAGUUAUGCUUCCAAGAAAAGCUCGAACUUCAUAAAACAACAUAUUAUCUGUACCCGAAUCCGACACAGGUAGGUAGGUAGAGUAUACAGAGGGGCGCGAGAUAACUCUCUCUAAGGAACUCGGCAAAUUGGCCCCGUAACUUCGGGAGAAGGGGUGCCUCUUUUAAAAAGGAGGUCGCAGUGAGCAGGCCCAGGCGACUGUUUACCAAAAACACAGGUCUCCGCUAAGUCGUAAGACGACGUAUGGGGGCUGACGCCUGCCCGGUGCUGGUAGGUGAAGCGAGUUGGUUAUCUUUCGAGAGAAGCUGGCGACCGAAGCCCCAGUGAACGGCGGCCCUAACUAUGAGGGUCCUAAGGUAGCAAAAUUCUUUGUCUGGUAAGUUCAGACUCGCAUGAAUGGCGUAACGAUCUGGGUACUGUCUCGGAGAGAGACUCGGUGAAAUAGACAUGUCUGUGAAGAUGCGGACUACUUACAUCUGGACAGAAAGACCCUAUAAAGCUUUACUGUAGCCUGACAUUGGAUUUGGGCUCCUCUUGCGCAGACUAGGUGGGAGGCUAAGAUAUUUACCUUGUGGGGUACGUUGAGCCAUCAUUGAGAGACCACUCUAGAAGAGCUAAAAUUCUAAUGGUGAUCCUUGAAUCAGGACACUUGACAUUGUCAGGCGGGCAGUUUUUCUGGGGCGGAAGCCUCCUAAAAGGUAACGGAGGCGCGCAAAGGUUCCUUCAAGCUGGACGGAAAUCAGCUGUAGAGUGUAAAGGUAUAAGGGAGCUUGACUGCAAGACCUACAAGUCGAACAGGGGCGAAAGCCGGCCUUAGUGAUCCGACGGUACCGCGUGGAAGGGCCGUCGCUCAACGAAUAAAAGUUACUUUAGGGAUAACAGGCUGAUCUUCCCCAAGAGUCCACAUCGACGGGAAGGUUUGGCACCUCGAUGUCGGCUUGUCACAUCCUGUGGCGGUAGUACGUCACAAGGGUUGGGCUGUUCGCCCAUUAAAGUGGUACACGAGCUGGGUUCAGAACGUAGUCACACUGUUUGGUCCAUAUCCGAUGUAAGCGUUAGAGCGUUGAGGAAAUCCUCGCCUAGUACGAGAGGACCGGUGAGGACGCACCGCUGGUGUACCGGUUGUUCCGCCAGGGGCAUACGCCGGGUAGCCAUGUGCGGAGUGGAUAACCGCUGAAAGCAUCUAAGUGGGAAGCCCAUUCCAAGAUGAGCGCUCUCUCGCAAGAGUUUGCCUCUUGCAAUAGGCCACAGCAAGACUAGCUGUUUGAUAGGUGUCAGGUGCAAGGUCGGUAACGGUUUUAGCCAAGACAUACUAAUAGGCCUAGUGAGUUUGA